RNAcentral lists this ribosomal RNA (500 nucleotides) under uncultured bacterium. Its description in RNAcentral is "partial 16S ribosomal RNA". It matches the Rfam family "Bacterial small subunit ribosomal RNA", at positions 29 to 523 of the family's 1533-position model. The record is from RNAcentral.
AGUGAACGCUGGCGGCGUGCUUAACACAUGCAAGUCGAACGGCAGCGCGGGAGCAAUCCUGGUGGCGAGUGGCGAACGGGUGAGUAAUAUAUCGGAACGUGCCCAGUCGUGGGGGAUAACGCAGCGAAAGCUGUACUAAUACCGCAUACGAUCUAAGGAUGAAAGCGGGGGAUCGCAAGACCUCGCGCGAUUGGAGCGGCCGAUAUCAGAUUAGCUAGUUGGUGGGGUAAAGGCCCACCAAGGCAACGAUCUGUAGCUGGUCUGAGAGGACGACCAGCCACACUGGAACUGAGACACGGUCCAGACUCCUACGGGAGGCAGCAGUGGGGAAUUUUGGACAAUGGGCGCAAGCCUGAUCCAGCAAUGCCGCGUGCAGGAUGAAGGCCUUCGGGUUGUAAACUGCUUUUGUACGGAACGAAACGGCCCUUUCUAAUACAGGGGGCUAAUGACGGUACCGUAAGAAUAAGCACCGGCUAACUACGUGCCAGCCGCCGCCGUAA